Homo sapiens (human) is the source of this 1916-nucleotide long non-coding RNA. The record is from Ensembl. NCBI's taxonomy places the organism in Eukaryota, Metazoa, Chordata, Mammalia, Primates, Hominidae.
AAGAGUUAAAUGAAAUACUGGUUUUUUAAAUGGUUAGAACAGAGACUGAUGCACAUAAGUAUUCAUUAUUAUAAUUCAGUUUUUGCAUUCUUUAAAGUGAAGCUGUGUUGUUGCAGUAUUUUAAGGAUAUAUUGUUCCCCAAAUUUUUGGGUAAAAUUGACUGUUAAGGAAGAUGAGUCAUGUUUAAACUGUAAUUGUGAGUAGACCACCCUUUAUCCUUGAAGGGCUUUCUCAACCAGGUGAAUGGCAUGGCUGUGGUGGGAAAUACAGGGCCCUGUGAGACAGGAAAUCUAGGGGGUUGUCUAGCUCCAUUACCAUCCUCUUCUUUUAUGGAUUCAGUGUCUUGUUCUUUUGUUCCAUGUGAGAAUCAUCCCUGCCCUGCCUACGUUAUAAAGCUGGAGAAAAAUGAAAUAAGUAAAAACACAUGGAAAACGUACUAAAAUAUUAAUGCAAGGAUGCAAGGUAUAAUCUUUGCUGGAACAUUAGUUCCUCAUUUAUUAGUAACAUUACAGGCAUUUGAAAUUAUGUACUUUAUAUGGGACCUAUAUUUUAAAUAUAUGCUAAUCAUCCUAGAAGCCCUACAAGGUAGGUGUUACUUUUUUCCAUUUUACCAUUAAGGAAAUUAUCCAGGUUUACACAACUUGAACCCAGGUCUCUGUCAGUAAAAAACUGUCUACUCUUCCAAACCAUUUUAUCUAUCCAUAUUUAUUUCCUCCAUCAAACAUUAGUUGAAUGCAAUGUGGUGUAUCACCCAAGGUCGGCUGGCAUCUUGAAAACAAUAACUAUGUGUUACUCAGCAUCUUAGCACCUAGCAAAGAGUGGAGAAUAUAACAGUCUUUCAAUUAAGUUUUGUCGAAGAAAGAAAUGAAGGCUCUUGGUCUUUAGAAAUUCACAAAUCAGCUGAGGAGACAGACAUACUAACCAACAGCAUAUGAUCAGCAUGUUCUAAUUGGUACUGUCUCUGGAAUAAAACAGCUGGCAGCAAAAAAUGUCUGACUUUUGCAGAGAAACUCCUAAUAUGAGUUUGACUGCUGUCCCACAUCUACCUAUGUGGUCGUAGUGCUGUAGUCACUGUUGUUACCCUAAGAGGACAGCCUUGUUCCUCCAGGUCUCUUACAACUCUCUUUUAAGGAGCUCGUAUUAGAUCCCUAGAGCUGCUGUAAUGCAUUGCCCAAAUCUUGUGACUUAAACCAACAGAAAUUUAUUAUCUCAUAGUUCUGGAGGCUAGAAGCCUGAAAUGAAGGUGUCUGCAGGCUUCACUCUCUCUGAAAUUUUUAUGAGAACAUUUUUCAUGUGAUUUAGAGCCCACCUGGGUAAUCCAGGAUGAUAUCAUCUCAAGAUUCCUAACUUAAUUACACCUGUAAAAUCCAUUUUUCCAAAUAAGGUCAUAUUCACAAGUUCUGAAGACUAAGGCAUGGACAGAUCUCAUUGGAAACCAUCAUUCAACCCACUGCAAAGCUUUAGCCAAUUCCCAGCUAUGAAUUCUUCCAAGAUGAAAGGAUACCAAGCUCAAGACUCUCCCUUGUUCAUUUGAGGCCUUCCCAAAGAUGACUGACAUUUUCACAAAUUUUAUUUGGUUUCAUUUCCUAUCUUAACGAAAACAAUGAUAAUUUCCUAUCUUAAUGAAAAAAAUGAUAAUGUUUAUACUGUAUGAUAAUUAAAACAUCAUGUAAAGAUUACUCUUUAUCUAAAUGUUUGCACAUACUCUUUGAACAUCCAUCAUUUUUCCAGCAGUUAUGAUUUUUUCUUCCCAGGAAUAUGGGAAUGAAGUGAAAUUGACAACUUUUCCCCCACGCAUUGUAUCCUCUUUUAAUGCCACCCCCUGUGUUUAACAGCCUCUGACACAAUGUAGGAGCAAUCCAUGGUACUCAAAGAAUAUUAUGGAAUUUAACAACAAGUAUAUAUAUUUGUCUUGA